This 2917-nucleotide ribosomal RNA is filed under the name Staphylococcus aureus. RNAcentral describes it as "bacterial LSU rRNA". It matches the Rfam family "Bacterial large subunit ribosomal RNA". The record is from RNAcentral. Lineage: Bacteria; Bacillati; Bacillota; Bacilli; Caryophanales; Staphylococcaceae.
UUAAGUUAUUAAGGGCGCACGGUGGAUGCCUUGGCACUAGAAGCCGAUGAAGGACGUUACUAACGACGAUAUGCUUUGGGGAGCUGUAAGUAAGCUUUGAUCCAGAGAUUUCCGAAUGGGGAAACCCAGCAUGAGUUAUGUCAUGUUAUCGAUAUGUGAAUACAUAGCAUAUCAGAAGGCACACCCGGAGAACUGAAACAUCUUAGUACCCGGAGGAAGAGAAAGAAAAUUCGAUUCCCUUAGUAGCGGCGAGCGAAACGGGAAGAGCCCAAACCAACAAGCUUGCUUGUUGGGGUUGUAGGACACUCUGUACGGAGUUACAAAGGACGACAUUAGACGAAUCAUCUGGAAAGAUGAAUCAAAGAAGGUAAUAAUCCUGUAGUCGAAAAUGUUGUCUCUCUUGAGUGGAUCCUGAGUACGACGGAGCACGUGAAAUUCCGUCGGAAUCUGGGAGGACCAUCUCCUAAGGCUAAAUACUCUCUAGUGACCGAUAGUGAACCAGUACCGUGAGGGAAAGGUGAAAAGCACCCCGGAAGGGGAGUGAAAUAGAACCUGAAACCGUGUGCUUACAAGUAGUCAGAGCCCGUUAAUGGGUGAUGGCGUGCCUUUUGUAGAAUGAACCGGCGAGUUACGAUUUGAUGCAAGGUUAAGCAGUAAAUGUGGAGCCGUAGCGAAAGCGAGUCUGAAUAGGGCGUUUAGUAUUUGGUCGUAGACCCGAAACCAGGUGAUCUACCCUUGGUCAGGUUGAAGUUCAGGUAACACUGAAUGGAGGACCGAACCGACUUACGUUGAAAAGUGAGCGGAUGAACUGAGGGUAGCGGAGAAAUUCCAAUCGAACCUGGAGAUAGCUGGUUCUCUCCGAAAUAGCUUUAGGGCUAGCCUCAAGUGAUGAUUAUUGGAGGUAGAGCACUGUUUGGACGAGGGGCCCUCUCGGGUUACCGAAUUCAGACAAACUCCGAAUGCCAAUUAAUUUAACUUGGGAGUCAGAACAUGGGUGAUAAGGUCCGUGUUCGAAAGGGAAACAGCCCAGACCACCAGCUAAGGUCCCAAAUAUAUGUUAAGUGGAAAAGGAUGUGGCGUUGCCCAGACAACUAGGAUGUUGGCUUAGAAGCAGCCAUCAUUUAAAGAGUGCGUAAUAGCUCACUAGUCGAGUGACACUGCGCCGAAAAUGUACCGGGGCUAAACAUAUUACCGAAGCUGUGGAUUGUCCUUUGGACAAUGGUAGGAGAGCGUUCUAAGGGCGUUGAAGCAUGAUCGUAAGGACAUGUGGAGCGCUUAGAAGUGAGAAUGCCGGUGUGAGUAGCGAAAGACGGGUGAGAAUCCCGUCCACCGAUUGACUAAGGUUUCCAGAGGAAGGCUCGUCCGCUCUGGGUUAGUCGGGUCCUAAGCUGAGGCCGACAGGCGUAGGCGAUGGAUAACAGGUUGAUAUUCCUGUACCACCUAUAAUCGUUUUAAUCGAUGGGGGGACGCAGUAGGAUAGGCGAAGCGUGCGAUUGGAUUGCACGUCUAAGCAGUAAGGCUGAGUAUUAGGCAAAUCCGGUACUCGUUAAGGCUGAGCUGUGAUGGGGAGAAGACAUUGUGUCUUCGAGUCGUUGAUUUCACACUGCCGAGAAAAGCCUCUAGAUAGAAAAUAGGUGCCCGUACCGCAAACCGACACAGGUAGUCAAGAUGAGAAUUCUAAGGUGAGCGAGCGAACUCUCGUUAAGGAACUCGGCAAAAUGACCCCGUAACUUCGGGAGAAGGGGUGCUCUUUAGGGUUAACGCCCAGAAGAGCCGCAGUGAAUAGGCCCAAGCGACUGUUUAUCAAAACACAGGUCUCUGCUAAACCGUAAGGUGAUGUAUAGGGGCUGACGCCUGCCCGGUGCUGGAAGGUUAAGAGGAGUGGUUAGCUUCUGCGAAGCUACGAAUCGAAGCCCCAGUAAACGGCGGCCGUAACUAUAACGGUCCUAAGGUAGCGAAAUUCCUUGUCGGGUAAGUUCCGACCCGCACGAAAGGCGUAACGAUUUGGGCACUGUCUCAACGAGAGACUCGGUGAAAUCAUAGUACCUGUGAAGAUGCAGGUUACCCGCGACAGGACGGAAAGACCCCGUGGAGCUUUACUGUAGCCUGAUAUUGAAAUUCGGCACAGCUUGUACAGGAUAGGUAGGAGCCUUUGAAACGUGAGCGCUAGCUUACGUGGAGGCGCUGGUGGGAUACUACCCUAGCUGUGUUGGCUUUCUAACCCGCACCACUUAUCGUGGUGGGAGACAGUGUCAGGCGGGCAGUUUGACUGGGGCGGUCGCCUCCUAAAAGGUAACGGAGGCGCUCAAAGGUUCCCUCAGAAUGGUUGGAAAUCAUUCAUAGAGUGUAAAGGCAUAAGGGAGCUUGACUGCGAGACCUACAAGUCGAGCAGGGUCGAAAGACGGACUUAGUGAUCCGGUGGUUCCGCAUGGAAGGGCCAUCGCUCAACGGAUAAAAGCUACCCCGGGGAUAACAGGCUUAUCUCCCCCAAGAGUUCACAUCGACGGGGAGGUUUGGCACCUCGAUGUCGGCUCAUCGCAUCCUGGGGCUGUAGUCGGUCCCAAGGGUUGGGCUGUUCGCCCAUUAAAGCGGUACGCGAGCUGGGUUCAGAACGUCGUGAGACAGUUCGGUCCCUAUCCGUCGUGGGCGUAGGAAAUUUGAGAGGAGCUGUCCUUAGUACGAGAGGACCGGGAUGGACAUACCUCUGGUGUACCAGUUGUCGUGCCAACGGCAUAGCUGGGUAGCUAUGUGUGGACGGGAUAAGUGCUGAAAGCAUCUAAGCAUGAAGCCCCCUCAAGAUGAGAUUUCCCAACUUCGGUUAUAAGAUCCCUCAAAGAUGAUGAGGUUAAUAGGUUCGAGGUGGAAGCAUGGUGACAUGUGGAGCUGACGAAUACUAAUCGAUCGAAGACUUAAUCAA